GUCUCUUUCAGGAAAAGCAUUGGAGAGGAUUAAAUUACGCAAGUAGAAGUUCACAACAAACAAAAAAUCAUUUAUCAGACAGUGUAUCAUUAAGUCAAAGAACUCCAUGUCACACAGGAAUGUGUCACUGUUCAAAAUUUAUGGGAGCUGAAAGAAUAAAUUGACAAGCUCUUGAACAUGACUAUUUAAUUAUAUUAAUUACAUAGAAAUCAUCUUCAUUUUGGCAUUCUCAGAGCUAAAAAUUGUUGAAGGUUUAGAAUACUUUGGGUAUCCUGAUCUUCAUUCCUGAACAUUUUGACUGCCAUGCAAAAGCAAGGGGAUUAUAAGAGGUAUGGCAUAACUAGUUGCCUCCUGUUGGAAGACAUCUGUGACACAUGUUGUCCAAACUGUAAGUAUUCUUGGGCUCAAAAAAUAGUCUAUUUACCCUGCAUGUAAGGUAUCCACAACAAAAAAUAAAAUACUGUCUAGCUUGGGCUUUCAAUUACUAGACAUACUUGUUACUUGAGUAGAAAUGUUUUCAUGGUUGAAUAAUAAAUAAAGACAUCAAGUUAAUCAACAAGAGUUUCUCUAGUAGACUUUAAUAAAAGAGUGUAAGAAAAAAGCAUCUGUAGAAAUACCACAGCAAGAUUUAAAAAUGUCUUACAUAUACAUGUUGGAAGAAGAGGGAAAGAGAAAGUUUUGCUAAUCACAAUUGCCAGCUAGUAACAAAAAGUCUCAUUGAAGAGUUUCACAGUACUAGAGCAUGUGUAGACACUUCAGUCAGUUAUCAAGCAAGAUCAGGUACAGAAAGAAGAAACCCUAAUAUUCUAGCAAGGUGGUUUUAAUCUCUGUUACAUAAGAUAUUUGCCUUCAGGAGUUCACAUGAAAAGGCAGUUUAAUAUAUGGAACUAAGAUAUACACAUUAGUACUGUUUUACAGUCAAAACUAAAGAACAAAGUAUGAUUAUUUGAAUUUUCCCCAAAACAAGAAAUAAGACUUUGUUGAUUUGUUUGAAAAAGUGAAACAACAUAUAUAUUUGUAUUAGCACAGAUGGAGAUUAAAAUAAUUUUAUGAAAUAAAUUUGGUCACCUUGGCAGAGAAUACCAACAUUUCAAAAAAACCCUGUAACCCCCACACACCCAAAGUACAAGAGACUCUUUUCAUAAUGCAACCCUCCCUUCUCUGGCAGAUACAGAUCAGCAUGUUGCAUAGGAAUGCCUAAAACACGGAUUUCAAAUAUCUCAACGAGCACAGACUAGAAUCCAGGGAGCAAUUUAGAAUUUUCAAGUCUGUCCCUCAAGUGAAAUCUAGAAUGUAAGCCCCAGUCAGAAACUAGAAAAGCCUUGUAUCUUCUAUCUCACUAUUUUCAAGUGAAGGUUGAAAAUUUCUUUUGCAGUCAGACCCUGAAACAGAUCUUUUGAACUACUAUGUGAGCUUCCCCCACCCUCAGAAUGAACUCUUGACUGGAGGCAAGAACAAGGAGGAAAUGGAAGUGGUAACACACAUUGACAGGGAACUAAGAUACAGGAGCGAAAACAGGAGAGAACAGAAAUGAAAAAAUGUUCAUCAGCUCUCUUUAUAAAUUUUUAUUUACUAAAACAUUCCUUAAAAGGUUUCAGCAUUAAGUUAACACUAUAACUUGUAAGCAGUAAUUGACUCUACUAGGAAAGUAAUUAGACCUCUUUGAGAUUAUUGCACAAAAACCUGGCAGCAAACAAUUUGAAAACGCACAUAUAGAUCAGUUUCUGAAACUGAGUUACAUAAUGUUUCUAAAGUACAAAAUAUAUAUUGUUAAAGAAUAGAAAUUAAAUAGAAUUGCUUAAUUUUAAAUCAAGUCCAGCAUGAAAAUAUUUUGAUAUGGCAAAUACCCCAGGACUUGCUGCAUGCAUUCAUAAUGUAGCUAUUUCAUCAUGAGUGUGAUCAUAUUUCCACCCUCUCCCCAAAAUGUAUGAUUUUGACAAGAAACUCAAAACAGACAAAAUAUAAUGUGAAACAUUUUCUUUUAAUAUAUAUUCCCAUUUUGGUAUUUAAUGCUUAAUCUAUAAAUAGAUACUUUCUGACACAAGCAUGAUUUAUGUGUUUUUGUGCUGUUUUAAUAUUAAAAUAUUUUAUAUUAAUAAAUCCAAAGCAGUUCAUUUUUUAGUUCUACUUCAAGUGAAAAAAAUAUUCUAUUUCAUUAAGUAUCAAACUGGAAUUUGUUAUUUAUUAGUAAGUAACUAUAUGUUGAUGACUACUUAAAGACAUAAUUAGUUCCCAAAAGGUAUUGCUUAUCUGAGUGCUAGGUAAAUACUAUAUACAGAUAUUUAAAGAGCAGUGCUACUAUUAAGAAAAGGUUUUGAGUAAUACAGAAGUUUCCAAUAAUUUAUGUCCCGAUUUUUUGUGUGGUGCACUACCAGGAAAAAUAAUUACAGGAGGGUAAAAAAAAAUAAA
This is a long non-coding RNA of Oenanthe melanoleuca, 2409 nucleotides long. RefSeq lists it as uncharacterized. The record is from RefSeq and is a predicted model, not a curated record. The transcript is spliced from 2 exons. NCBI's taxonomy places the organism in Eukaryota, Metazoa, Chordata, Aves, Passeriformes, Muscicapidae.